UACCCGCAGCUCAAGUGGUGGUCAUUAUUAUUGGGCCUAAAGCGUCCGUAGCUGGCUUGUUAGAUGCCUGGGUAAAUCGAUGCGCUUAACGCAUCGAAUUCCGGGUAGACCGGCAAGCUCGAGACGGGGAGAGGCGUGAGCUACUCGAGGGGUAGGGGUAAAAUCCUGUAAUCCUUCGGGGAGGACCAGUGGCGAAGGCGUCACGCUAGAACGGCUCUGACAGUGAGGGACGAAGCCCUGGGGCGCAAACCGG
Molecule: ribosomal RNA, 253 nt
Filed under: uncultured bacterium
Lineage: Bacteria
Description: partial 16S ribosomal RNA
Rfam family: Archaeal small subunit ribosomal RNA
Source: RNAcentral